GACGGACGCUGGCGGCGCGCUUAACACAUGCAAGUCGAACGGAAAGGCCUGCUUUCCCUUGUGGAUUGCGGGUACUCGAGUGGCGAACGGGUGAGUAACACGUGAGUGAUCUGCCCCCAACUUGGGUAUAAGCCUGGGAAACUGGGUCUAAUUCCCGAUAGGACUGCAGGGUGGUGCCUGUGGUGGAAAACGAUUUUCUAGUGGUUGGGGAUGAGCUCGCGGCCUAUCAGCUUGUUGGUGGGGUAAUGGCCUACCAAGGCGGCGACGGGUAGCCGGCCUGAGAGGGUGGACGGACACAUUGGGACUGAGAUACGGCCCAGACUCCUACGGGAGGCAGCAGUGGGGAAUAUUGCACAAUGGGCGGAAGCCUGAUGCAGCGACGCCGCGUGGGGGAUGACGGCCUUCGGGUUGUAAACUCCUUUCGACCGCGAGGAAGCCACCUGGUUGGAAGGGUGGUGACGGUAGUGGUAGAAGAAGCACCGGCUAACUACGUG
Molecule: ribosomal RNA, 494 nt
Filed under: uncultured bacterium
Lineage: Bacteria
Description: partial 16S ribosomal RNA
Rfam family: Bacterial small subunit ribosomal RNA
Source: RNAcentral